AGCGAACGCUGGCGGCAGGCCUAACACAUGCAAGUCGAACGAACUCUUCGGAGUUAGUGGCGGACGGGUGAGUAACACGUGGGAACGUGCCCUUUUGUUCGGAAUAACUCAGGGAAACUUGUGCUAAUACCGAAUGUGCCCUUCGGGGGUAAGAUUUAUUGCCAUUAGAGCGGCCCGCGUCUGAUUAGCUAGUUGGUGAGGUAACGGCUCACCAAGGCGACGAUCAGUAGCUGGUCUGAGAGGAUGACCAGCCACACUGGGACUGAGACACGGCCCAGACUCCUACGGGAGGCAGCAGUGGGGAAUCUUGCGCAAUGGGCGAAAGCCUGACGCAGCCAUGCCGCGUGAAUGAUGAAGGUCUUAGGAUUGUAAAAUUCUUUCACCGGGGACGAUAAUGACGGUACCCGGAGAAGAAGCCCCGGCCAACUUCGUG
Molecule: ribosomal RNA, 433 nt
Filed under: uncultured bacterium
Lineage: Bacteria
Description: partial 16S ribosomal RNA
Rfam family: Bacterial small subunit ribosomal RNA
Source: RNAcentral